Molecule: long non-coding RNA, 407 nt
Filed under: Androctonus crassicauda
Lineage: Eukaryota; Metazoa; Arthropoda; Arachnida; Scorpiones; Buthidae
Source: RNAcentral
UUUAAGUUCAUUUACAGGUUCCAAAUAUACUCGGUCUGUAGUCUGACUUGUGAGGUGAAAUGGCAGAUCUCGUGCUUAAAGGGAUAGAUGUUGUGGCUGAUAUGCUGUUGCAGGAGCCGGACAGUCUUAUUAAUAAUAAUCAGAAUACACGAAAAAAGAGGAAAGUAUGGGCUCCAGAAUGGAUUCUCAGGCGUGGACAACUAGAUGCCUUUUCCAAUUUUCUGUGUCAAGUUGACAGCGAAGAUAAAAAUAUAUUUAAAAACCACCUACGAUUGACCCUAUUCAGUUUGAUGAACUUUUAAGACGUGUUAAAAUCUAAAAUUCAAAAAUAUAUCAACAAAUCUGACGGUUUCAGCUUUGCUCCACUUACGCGAUCGUCGUUUACUGCUUUCCGCCAUCUUAAAAAC